This 290-nucleotide small nuclear RNA is filed under the name Peromyscus maniculatus bairdii (prairie deer mouse). Its description in RNAcentral is "7SK RNA (ENSPEMG00000004307.2)". It matches the Rfam family "7SK RNA". Rfam says of the family: 7SK was discovered as an abundant small nuclear RNA in the mid-70s but a possible function has only recently been suggested. Two independent studies have found that 7SK RNA binds the CDK9/cyclin T complex (known as elongation factor P-TEFb). P-TEFb activates transcription by phosphorylating the C-terminal domain of RNA polymerase II. The record is from Rfam by way of RNAcentral. Lineage: Eukaryota; Metazoa; Chordata; Mammalia; Rodentia; Cricetidae.
GGAUGUAAAUUAGAUAAUCUGGUGUGACAUCCAUCACUUCAUCAUCACCAGGAUUCAAUCAGCUGAUCUGACUGUCUAGGUGGCUGUGGCCUUUCUCCUGCUGCUCCACAUAUGUCCUUCCCAGAAUUGCACUUUUGCGGAAGAGUUUGAUCUUCUCCAUGGAGUAGGAUUGAUCUUUAGUCAAGGGUACAUGAGUAACUGUGCUCCUCUGCUAGAAGCUCCAAACAAGCCCCUCAAAGUAGAUCAGGAAGGUUCCAUCCCACUGGGCUACCAAAUGGAACACCCUGUUU